UACUGGUUUUUAGAGAAAAAUGUAUUUUUUUUUAUGUUAAAUCGAAGUAGAAUUACAAGCUUGACAAAUGAAUCGGUCAUCGGUUACAGGCGCACAUCUAGUAGUGAUACAUUUUAUCACACUUACCUAGCACUAUGAAACCGACUUUUUGUCAGGCUUGUAAUUCUCCUUUGGUGGCAUAAAAUGACACCGUACGGUGACCGGAUCCUCUUGCGACUGAGCCCGGUUCCAAGCGAUUCGAUCGGCAACUCAACAGCCUUCCGAAUAUCGUCCGAUUCAAAUCCUACGCGAUUAUCUGUUUAAAUGUUAGAUAUUGUGAUUGAAUUUUUGGAAAGCUUUUCUUCAUUCGCAUGCUAGCAUUCUCUGUGUAUUUUUCUUUCUUUCUUUUUCUGUAUUUUAGUCACUUAUCAAUGUCAAGUUCUGCACUUUGUUAUUGUAAAUUUUCGAUAAAAAUGAAUAAAAUUUCUUAUUUCUUUCGUA
Olea europaea var. sylvestris is the source of this 480-nucleotide long non-coding RNA. RefSeq lists it as uncharacterized. Lineage: Eukaryota; Viridiplantae; Streptophyta; Magnoliopsida; Lamiales; Oleaceae. The transcript is spliced from 2 exons. The record is from RefSeq and is a predicted model, not a curated record.